GCAAACUUGGUCAUUUAGAGGAAGUAAAAGUCGUAACAAGGUUUCCGUAGGUGAACCUGCGGAAGGAUCAUUAUCGAUGUUUAUUACUCGGGGGGUGCUUUCAACUUCUUGAGGCCCUUUCAGCUCCGACUCCUUCGGGGGUCGUUUCGAGCUGGGGGCCUUUGGGGUGGUCCCCUCGGGUUAACAACUUCACUAUCCCUAUUGUGAACUUUGAAAGGGGUUUAACGACCGUCAAGGUCCGCCGACCCUUUUUUCGUUUAUCAAACGCUUUUCUUUGUAAUUGUAUUUGAAACGAAUAACAAAAAACAACUUUCAACAACGGAUCUCUUGGCUCUCGCAUCGAUGAAGAACGCAGC
RNAcentral lists this unclassified non-coding RNA (356 nucleotides) under uncultured fungus. Its description in RNAcentral is "partial contains small subunit ribosomal RNA, internal transcribed spacer 1, and 5.8S ribosomal RNA". The stretch from base 1 to 73 matches the Rfam family "Eukaryotic small subunit ribosomal RNA", at positions 1759 to 1831 of the family's 1831-position model. The record is from RNAcentral. Lineage: Eukaryota; Fungi.